This is a non-coding RNA of Triticum aestivum (bread wheat), 156 nucleotides long. The record is from Rfam. NCBI's taxonomy places the organism in Eukaryota, Viridiplantae, Streptophyta, Magnoliopsida, Poales, Poaceae.
GACUCUCGGCAAUGGAUAUCUCGGCUCUCGCAUCGACGAGGAACCUAGCGAAAUGUGAUACCUGGUGUGAAUUGCAGAAUGCUGCGAACCAUUGAGUCUCUGAAAGCAAGUUGCGCCCGAGGCCACUCGACUGAGGGCACGCUUGCCUGGGCGUCA